This 432-nucleotide ribosomal RNA is filed under the name uncultured Ignavibacterium sp. Its description in RNAcentral is "bacterial SSU rRNA". It matches the Rfam family "Bacterial small subunit ribosomal RNA", at positions 355 to 779 of the family's 1533-position model. The record is from RNAcentral. Lineage: Bacteria; Pseudomonadati; Ignavibacteriota; Ignavibacteria; Ignavibacteriales; Ignavibacteriaceae.
UGAGGAAUAUUGGGCAAUGCCCGCAAGGGUGACCCAGCAACGCCGCGUGGAGGAUGAAUGCCGUAAGGUUGUAAACUCCUGUUAGAGGGGACGAAAUAUUCAGCUUCGUAAGAAUCUGAAUUUGACUGUACCCUCAGAGAAAGCCCCGGCUAACUACGUGCCAGCAGCCGCGGUAAUACGUAGGGGGCAAGCGUUGUCCGGAUUCACUGGGUGUAAAGGGCGCGCAGGCGGGUUAAUAAGUCAGAGGUGAAAUCCUACAGCUCAACUGUAGAACUGCCUUUGAUACUGUUAAUCUUGAGUUCGGAAGAGAGAGACGGAAUUCCAGGUGUAGUGGUGAAAUACGUAGAUAUCUGGAAGAACACCAGUAGCGAAGGCGGUCUCUUGGUCCGAUACUGACGCUCAGGCGCGAAAGCGUGGGUAGCAAACAGGAUU